CCCUACGGGGGGCAGCAGUAGGGAAUUUUCGUCAAUGGGCGCAAGCCUGAACGAGCGAUGCCGCGUGAGUGAAGAAGGCCUUCGGGUCGUAAAGCUCUGUUGCGGGGGAAAAAAGGCAGCAUCAGGAAAUGGGUGCUGACUGAUGGUGCCCCGCCAGAAAGUCACGGCUAACUAUGUGCCAGCAGCCGCGGUAAUACAUAGGGAGCAAGCGUUAUCCGGAUUUAUUGGGUGUAAAGGGUGCGUAGACGGGAAAUUAAGUUAGUUGUUAAAUCCCUCGGCUUAACUGAGGAACUGCAACUAAAACU
RNAcentral lists this ribosomal RNA (305 nucleotides) under uncultured bacterium. RNAcentral describes it as "bacterial SSU rRNA". It matches the Rfam family "Bacterial small subunit ribosomal RNA", at positions 337 to 634 of the family's 1533-position model. The record is from RNAcentral.